This 344-nucleotide ribosomal RNA is filed under the name uncultured bacterium. Its description in RNAcentral is "partial 16S ribosomal RNA". It matches the Rfam family "Bacterial small subunit ribosomal RNA", at positions 329 to 690 of the family's 1533-position model. The record is from RNAcentral.
GCCCAGACUCCUACGGGAGGCAGCAGUAGGGAAUAUUGCACAAUGGGGGAAACCCUGAUGCAGCGACGCCGCGUGAAGGAUGAAGUAUUUCGGUAUGUAAACUUCUAUCAGCAGGGAAGAAAAUGACGGUACCUGACUAAGAAGCCCCGGCUAACUACGUGCCAGCAGCCGCGGUAAUACGUAGGGGGCAAGCGUUAUCCGGAUUUACUGGGUGUAAAGGGAGCGUAGGCGGCAGCGCAAGUCUGAAGUGAAAUGCCGGGGCUUAACCGCGGAACUGCUUUGGAAACUGAGCAGCUAGAGUGCAGGAGAGGUAAGUGGAAUUCCUAGUGUAGCGGUGAAAUGCG